RNAcentral lists this long non-coding RNA (533 nucleotides) under Homo sapiens (human). RNAcentral's name for it is "HSALNT0203861". Lineage: Eukaryota; Metazoa; Chordata; Mammalia; Primates; Hominidae. The record is from RNAcentral.
UACAUAUGACAAAACCCAGAAGAACAAGGGAUGCUAUUUGUGGACUGAAUGUUUGUGUCUCCCCAGAAUUCAUGUUGAAACCCUAUUCCCCAGUGUGAUAGCAUUAGGAGUUGGGCCUUUGAGAGGUUAGUAGGAUUAGAUAAGGUCAUAAUGGUGGAGCCCUCAUAAAUGGGAUUAGUGCCCUUAUAAGAGUCACAAGAGAGCUUAUUUCCCUUCUCUGCUCUCCACCAUGUGAGGAUAAAAUGAGAAGUCAGCAGUCUGGAACCCGGAAGAGAAACCUCAUCAGAAACUGACCAUGCUGGCACCCUAAAACUGGGACUUCCAGCCUCCAGAAUAAAGCUUUUUUCACACAAGACACCAGUGCAGAGAUGAAUAAGAUCCAGACCCUUCUCUGGAGGUGGAAGGGAUGUUAUAGAUCGGGACCGUGGCUAUCCAAAGCUAUGUGCAAAUUGAAAUUAUAAGGAAGCAGAAAAGCUAUGAAGAGGUGGAGAGAGGAAAAGAGAGAUAUACACAGAAAUGGAGCUGAAGAAAGG